This 73-nucleotide transfer RNA is filed under the name hydrothermal vent metagenome. RNAcentral describes it as "tRNA-Glu-CTC". It matches the Rfam family "tRNA". Rfam says of the family: Transfer RNA (tRNA) molecules are approximately 80 nucleotides in length. Their secondary structure includes four short double-helical elements and three loops (D, anti-codon, and T loops). The record is from RNAcentral.
GCCCCGUUCGUCUAGCGGUCUAGGACGUAGCCCUCUCAAGGCUAAAACAGGGGUUCGAUUCCCCUACGGGGCA